Molecule: ribosomal RNA, 552 nt
Filed under: uncultured bacterium
Lineage: Bacteria
Description: bacterial SSU rRNA
Rfam family: Archaeal small subunit ribosomal RNA
Source: RNAcentral
AAUAGAUACCCCGGUAGUCCCAGCCGUAAACGAUGCUCGCUAGGUGUCAGGCAUGGCGCGACCGUGUUUGGUGCCGCAGGGAAGCCGUGAAGCGAGCCACCUGGGAAGUACGGCCGCAAGGCUGAAACUUAAAGGAAUUGGCGGGGGGAGCACAACAACGGGUGGAGCCUGCGGUUUAAUUGGACUCAACGCCGGACAACUCACCGGGGACGACAGCAAUAUGUAGGUCAGGCUGAAGACCUUACCUGAAUCGCUGAGAGGAGGUGCAUGGCCGUCGCCAGUUCGUACUGUGAAGCAUCCUGUUAAGUCAGGCAACGAGCGAGACCCGUGCCCACUGUUACCAGCAUAUCCUCCGGGAUGAUGGGUACUCUGUGGGGACCGCCGGUGUUAAAUCGGAGGAAGGUGCGGGCCACGGUAGGUCAGUAUGCCCCGAAUUUCCCGGGCGUACACGCGGGCUACAAUGAAUGGGACAAUGGGUCCCUCCCCGUGAAAGGGCUGGUAAUCUCACAAACCCAUCCUUAGUUCGGAUCGAGGGCUGUAACUCGCCCUCGU